RNAcentral lists this ribosomal RNA (301 nucleotides) under uncultured bacterium. Its description in RNAcentral is "partial 16S ribosomal RNA". It matches the Rfam family "Bacterial small subunit ribosomal RNA", at positions 509 to 807 of the family's 1533-position model. The record is from RNAcentral.
CAGUCGCCACGGUAAUACGUAGGGUGCAAGCGUUAAUCGGAAUUACUGGGCGUAAAGCGUGCGCAGGCGGUUUGUUAAGUCUGUUGUGAAAUCCCCGGGCUCAACCUGGGAAUGGCAAUGGAUACUGGCAAGCUAGAGUGUGUCAGAGGAUGGUGGAAUUCCCGGUGUAGCGGUGAAAUGCGUAGAGAUCGGGAGGAACAUCAGUGGCGAAGGCGGCCAUCUGGGACAACACUGACGCUGAGGCACGAAAGCGUGGGGAGCAAACAGGAUUAGAUACCCGCGUAGUCCCUGUCUCUUAUAC